GCGGGUAACUUAACUGGUAGAGCUCUUGGCGCGUAACCAAACGAUCCGGGUUUGACUCUCGGUCUGAGCU
RNAcentral lists this transfer RNA (70 nucleotides) under Cotesia glomerata. RNAcentral's name for it is "tRNA-Thr". Lineage: Eukaryota; Metazoa; Arthropoda; Insecta; Hymenoptera; Braconidae. The record is from RNAcentral.